CAGAUUAGAGCUUGAUAUAAGUUUUUUAUUUACACUAAAAGGAUAGUUUGUGAAAACUUGGUCUGA
RNAcentral lists this transfer RNA (66 nucleotides) under Smaragdina reyi. RNAcentral's name for it is "tRNA-Val". The record is from RNAcentral. Lineage: Eukaryota; Metazoa; Arthropoda; Insecta; Coleoptera; Chrysomelidae.